This 1337-nucleotide long non-coding RNA is filed under the name Nicotiana tabacum (common tobacco). RNAcentral's name for it is "long non-coding RNA (NTAB_LNC004324)". The record is from RNAcentral. Lineage: Eukaryota; Viridiplantae; Streptophyta; Magnoliopsida; Solanales; Solanaceae.
CAAAAUCAAAAAGAAAAAGAAAAGAAAACAAAGAAAGGCAAAAGGGCCAUUUUGUAGCUCAAAAUCGGACUGGACCAUCUUGAAACAACCCAUUUGAUUUUAAAUCCCUAGUCCAUUUUAAAGGCCCAGAACAUUGACCCAUUAACCCUUUCCCCUCUUUAUAACCUAAAUCCCUCACAUUAAAGAAAAAAAGAGAAAAAAUAGGAUCAGAUCCUUAGACCCAGAGGGAGAAGAGCAACGGCGCCCCUGUUCUAAAAGGCCCCUCCUUCUUUUUCACUCACUGACACUAGAGACCCUUUGCAGAAACUCAAGCUUUCUUCCUCCUCACCUCCCACUCACAGCUUACACACGAAAAAUCGCUCACCAUAGAGCUAGAAACAAAACUUUCAAAAGUUCAAAAAAGAAACUCAAAAAGGAGAUCUGAAAAUAAGUUUGGGGAAUGAUUUUCUGGGUUUAAAAGCUGUUGAAAGCUUUUAAAGUUGAUCUCGCUGUAUUGUUGCUGUCGAGUACUACGAAUUUUGCUGACAUUUUACCAGUUUCAUUACUGUCAGUUGAUGUUGUCUUGUAUUGGAAAUUGUUAGUUGAACCCUAUCGCUUUGUUUGUUUAAGAGGUAAAUUCAAAAGAACCCCUUUGUAUCUUGUUAUAUUUAGUGAUGAAUGAAUUUCUAUCUCCGCUUUGAAAUCAUGUUAAAUGUUGAUUCACUGUUUGUAUUUUUAUAAUAAGUUUUUUGAUUGAAUUUUAUAAUAAGUUUGUUUCUUGGAUCUUUCUGUAUAUUUUUUUUUUCGGAAAUGCCAUUGAGUUGGUUCAAGUGUUUUCACUGUUGGGAUUCAUUUUUGGCUAUUUGAGAAAAUGUACUGAGAUGUUAUUUCUAUCAUUGAUUUUGCCAUGUUACUAUUAUAUUUGCUAUAUCGCCUUGUUUUGAUCUAUGAUAAUUGUUGUUUCCUUCCCGUUAAUUCCAUAUAAGGGAGCAAUUAAUGUGAUAAUUUAGCAUAAUUGCUAUCAUUAACAGUAGCAAGACAAAUGCCAUUAUGGCUAUAAUAUCAAUAAAUCGUGAUUAUACUAUCAUCUCUUGCUUUAUGAUAAGUAUGUCAUUUUGUUGAAUUCCAAAUUUGCCAUAUUCUUCAUGGCAGUAGUAUUCCAAAUUUGCCAUAUUCUUCAUGUCAGUAGUAUUUCAUGAUAUAGUCCAUAUGUAUUAACAUGUCUUUGUCAUACAAAAAGGUGCAUAUACUAUUGGAAUUGAAAAGAGCUGUUAAUUAUUAAUGUAGGAAAAGAACUCAUGCACACGUAGAAUGUAAUUGCGUGGCCCUCAUUUUAAGCAGGAAUUGAUCCUUAGAUU